CAAUAUGUCAGCGGCAGACGGGUGAGUAACGCGUGGGAACGUACCUUUUGGUUCGGAACAACUGAGGGAAACUUCAGCUAAUACCGGAUAAGCCCUUACGGGGAAAGAUUUAUCGCCGAAAGAUCGGCCCGCGUCUGAUUAGCUAGUUGGUGAGGUAAUGGCUCACCAAGGCGACGAUCAGUAGCUGGUCUGAGAGGAUGAUCAGCCACAUUGGGACUGAGACACGGCCCAAACUCCUACGGGAGGCAGCAGUGGGGAAUAUUGGACAAUGGGCGCAAGCCUGAUCCAGCCAUGCCGCGUGAGUGAUGAAGGCCCUAGGGUUGUAAAGCUCUUUUGUGCGGGAAGAUAAUGACGGUACCGCAAGAAUAAGCCCCGGCUAACUUCGUGCCAGCAGCCGCGGUAAUACGAAGGGGGCUAGCGUUGCUCGGAAUCACUGGGCGUAAAGGGUGCGUAGGCGGGUCUUUAAGUCAGGGGUGAAAUCCUGGAGCUCAACUCCAGAACUGCCUUUGAUACUGAAGAUCUUGAGUUCGGGAGAGGUGAGUGGAACUGCGAGUGUAGAGGUGAAAUUCGUAGAUAUUCGCAAGAACACCAGUGGCGAAGGCGGCUCACUGGCCCGAUACUGACGCUGAGGCACGAAAGCGUGGGGAGCAAAACAGGAUUAGAUACCCUGGUAGUCCACGCCGUAAACGAUGAAUGCCAGCCGUUAGUGGGUUUACUCACUAGUGGCGCAGCUAACGCUUUAAGCAUUCCGCCUGGGGAGUACGGUCGCAAGAUUAAAACUCAAAGGAAUUG
Molecule: ribosomal RNA, 792 nt
Filed under: Bradyrhizobium sp.
Lineage: Bacteria; Pseudomonadati; Pseudomonadota; Alphaproteobacteria; Hyphomicrobiales; Nitrobacteraceae
Description: bacterial SSU rRNA
Rfam family: Bacterial small subunit ribosomal RNA
Source: RNAcentral